This 301-nucleotide ribosomal RNA is filed under the name uncultured bacterium. RNAcentral describes it as "partial 16S ribosomal RNA". It matches the Rfam family "Bacterial small subunit ribosomal RNA", at positions 509 to 807 of the family's 1533-position model. The record is from RNAcentral.
CAGCAGCCGCGGUAAUACGAAGGGGGCUAGCGUUGCUCGGAAUUACUGGGCGUAAAGGGCGCGUAGGCGGCCAUUCAAGUUAGAUGUGAAAGCCCUGGGCUCAACCUAGGAGUUGCAUUUGAUACUGUUUGGCUUGAGUUCGGGAGAGGUGAGUGGAAUUCCCAGUGUAGAGGUGAAAUUCGUAGAUAUUCGGAAGAACACCAGUGGCGAAGGCGGCUCACUGGACGACUGUUGACGCUGAGGUGCGAAAGCGUGGGGAGCAAACAGGAUUAGAUACCCCGGUAGUCCCUGUCUCUUAUAC